This is a long non-coding RNA of Alligator mississippiensis (American alligator), 2280 nucleotides long. RefSeq lists it as uncharacterized. The transcript has 4 exons. Lineage: Eukaryota; Metazoa; Chordata; Crocodylia; Alligatoridae. The record is from RefSeq and is a predicted model, not a curated record.
UCAGGUUCAUUGCUGUCCCAUUCCCAGCUGGCUGUAUCCAGGAUCCAAUGUUCCAUCCCAGGUGCUUGUGUUCCUCUUGAGAACAGCGGUGAAUUUUCUAGGCUUUUAAGCAGGAACACUGCUCUUCUGGAGACUCAUAUUUCCAUUCACUGAGAAACUUCAUGAAGAUUGCAUCUGAGGCUAAAGCUGCCUUUGUUUAUACACAUGCUCGUCUCAGCUGUAGAACUCCAUGGAAGUUGCCAACACGGGAAGCAUAACUGAUGGAUGAUGAGGACGCGAGCCCCAGGUGGCCAUGAAGCAAACCCAAGAGUCAAGAUUCCUGAAUUCUGGGAAAGCUGAAAUCCCACAGUGAAUUUUGUGCCUGAUCUCUAUCUCUGCAAAGGGCAGAACCAAAAUCUCCACCCUCACAUUUCCAGCCUUUGAGGCUUGAAUUCUUUAGCAGCAUCCAAAUGAGAGUAGAUAUUUGUUUCCCCAGGGACAACUAGCAGCAGGACACCUUGUGUCACUGCUACUUGUCCCUGGGGAAUGCCUGUGCCAAGCGCUCUCUGGCAUGUGGCAAGUUAUACCUGGUGCAGUAGGAGAAGCUGGGACACGGCUGUGGCACCACAUACUGCAUGGCUGCACUUGUCUGGACACAGCUUUUGAGUCCUUGAGUCUUUAUCCCAAGGACAAGGAAUUUCCCAAUUUCCCUACAAUCUGAAAGCCAAAUGUCAAAUUUCUGAUGGCCAAACAUAUGGAAUUUAUAAUGAAUUUCUCUGUACAUUGAAUACUAGCACAGUAAAAAGAAUAUAAAGUAUGUCAGGGCACUUAAUGCAUCUGUGGGUAUGCUGUGUUCCCAUCUUCUAAACUCGGCAGACACUGUAAGUUGUGCCCCACCCUGUAGAGACAGACUUAAUCCCCUUCCAUGCCCUGUGAGUAGUUUCCUUGUGUCCACUGGAGCUAAACACAUGUACAGAGUUUAGCACAAGUGCAAGUCUUUACAGGAUUGGGGGCUGUCUGUCCUACCUCGUCUGUAGUUCUGCUUGGAAUGUCCAGGCAUUGACAUUAUAAUGAUCUCUUCAAUGCAUUAUACGUUCAGAAACGUAUUUCAUACUCUGAGGUAUUUCUUCACCAAGUAAUCAGCACGCACUGCCUUCUUACUGAAAAUAGUGAGAGAAAUCCUCAACUGGUGUAAAUAGCAUUGCACCAUUGAUUUCAGAUGAACCAAAUUGAUUUGCAAUGACUGAGAAACUGGUCCCAAUAUGUAUUGUUUUACAAUUACUCAAAUUACACAUCAGGCCAUCUGCUCUUUCAGGCACCCACUAAUACCCAGAAAAAAGGCCUGCUUGAUGUUGGCAUUUUUCAUGGCAGCUGGGGAGUGGAAUGAAAAGAAAAGAGCAGUUACCAAGACAGCCUGGGAAAUAGAAACAAGAUUUUAAAAAAAAUGUGUUUAGGUUCAGAUUUUAAAGGGCAUUUACUUGCAGUAGCUGGGGACUGCUUUCUGUCCACGCUCCCCUCCCAUGGCCUAAAGGCUAAUACAGUGCAUUUAUACUGUCAUUUUGCUGCAUUACAAGAGGGGUUUUAUUUCAGAUUCUAGCAGUGGUUCUGUAGUUCCAAAGCUGUGUCUUAAACUUUCAAUCUGCUUAUUAAUACCCAUGUCAUGGCUCCUGUUGAGAAAGAGGUUUAGUGUCACUGUCCUCAAUCAGUGUCCUUUCAUUCACUUUCAUUAAGAACCAUGUUUUCCUGACAAAGGAUAACAAAUGGACACUGUUGGUCCCUAAUGUGCUUUUUGACUACAGAGCCUGUACCAUUUCUCUGAAGCAAUGGCAAUUAUUUGUCAUUUUAAUAUGACUUGGCAAGGAGAUCCAAAAACAUAUGACCAUUAUUCAUCAAUAUGUAUAUUUUGUGCUUGCAUUAAUAUUAGAAUAUCAUUAUUAUUAUCCUGACAUUGUAUGGGCUAGAUAAAAUUGCAUCGUGUAAAAUGUAUUAAACUAUGUUCAGCAAUAUUCAUAUGGCAAGGCAAAAGCAAUUUGAAGACCUAUAAAAUGUAUCUGUUGAAUGCUGCAAUUUAUUAUGAUUAGUGGUGAGGCACCUUUACCUUUGUGCUAAUGGAAUAUAUAUCAGUGUUUCACCACUGCUAAUUGGAAAUAGUAUAGCUAUAUGUUACUACCACCAUCAAAAUCUAUAUAGUAGUUUCAUCCAUUUUUCCAAAUUGUGAAAAUGUUGUGAUGUCUAAUAUUCCUGGCAUUGUAAAGAUUAAACAGGUGAAUGAUAAAAAGACCUUUUUUAUUAAUUUGGGAA